CACAGGGCCAGCGGGAUCAGCAGCCGUCGCAUGCUUCCUUGUCACCCUGGCCCUGCGAAGCGGAUUCUCACGGGGAGUGGGGGAGCCUUCGGGUGUGGCAGAACGGCAUGAUGGAAUUCAUAAGGUGAGCGGAAACUCAAGGAAAACUGUCCAAAUACCGGCUCGACUCCUGGGUACGCUGGAGCAAGGAUGAAGAAGCUCUGGGACUUUGCACAUUAGUAACCACCAACACCAUGCCUCGGUUCCCACGCUGCAUGGAUCACCUGAAGUAGAGGAUCUCAUGUAACUUCA
Nomascus leucogenys (northern white-cheeked gibbon) is the source of this 291-nucleotide long non-coding RNA. RefSeq lists it as uncharacterized. The record is from RefSeq and is a predicted model, not a curated record. NCBI's taxonomy places the organism in Eukaryota, Metazoa, Chordata, Mammalia, Primates, Hylobatidae. The transcript has 2 exons.